AGGGGAGUAGCUCAAUUGGCAGAGUAGCGGUCUCCAAAACCGUUGGUUGCGGGUUCGAGUCCUGCCUCCCCUGCCA
RNAcentral lists this transfer RNA (76 nucleotides) under Pseudomonadota bacterium. RNAcentral's name for it is "tRNA-Trp". It matches the Rfam family "tRNA". From Rfam's summary of the family: Transfer RNA (tRNA) molecules are approximately 80 nucleotides in length. Their secondary structure includes four short double-helical elements and three loops (D, anti-codon, and T loops). Further hydrogen bonds mediate the characteristic L-shaped molecular structure. tRNAs have two regions of fundamental functional importance: the anti-codon, which is responsible for specific mRNA codon recognition, and the 3' end, to which the tRNAs corresponding amino acid is attached (by aminoacyl-tRNA synthetases). tRNAs cope with the degeneracy of the genetic code in two manners: having more than one tRNA (with a specific anti-codon) for a particular amino acid; and 'wobble' base-pairing, i.e. permitting non-standard base-pairing at the 3rd anti-codon position. Lineage: Bacteria; Pseudomonadati; Pseudomonadota. The record is from RNAcentral. RNAcentral also lists the same sequence under 4 other names.